This 539-nucleotide ribosomal RNA is filed under the name uncultured bacterium. Its description in RNAcentral is "bacterial SSU rRNA". It matches the Rfam family "Bacterial small subunit ribosomal RNA", at positions 777 to 1314 of the family's 1533-position model. The record is from RNAcentral.
AAUAGAUACCCGGGUAGUCCACGCCGUAAACGAUGAGUGCUAAGUGUUAGGGGGUUUCCGCCCCUUAGUGCUGCAGCUAACGCAUUAAGCACUCCGCCUGGGGAGUACGGCCGCAAGGCUGAAACUCAAAGGAAUUGACGGGGGCCCGCACAAGCGGUGGAGCAUGUGGUUUAAUUCGAAGCAACGCGAAGAACCUUACCAGGUCUUGACAUCCUCUGACAACCCUAGAGAUAGGGCGUUCCCCUUCGGGGGACAGAGUGACAGGUGGUGCAUGGUUGUCGUCAGCUCGUGUCGUGAGAUGUUGGGUUAAGUCCCGCAACGAGCGCAACCCUUGAUCUUAGUUGCCAGCAUUUAGUUGGGCACUCUAAGGUGACUGCCGGUGACAAACCGGAGGAAGGUGGGGAUGACGUCAAAUCAUCAUGCCCCUUAUGACCUGGGCUACACACGUGCUACAAUGGAUGGUACAAAGGGCUGCCAAACCGCGAGGUUGAGCGAAUCCCAUAAAACCAUUCUCAGUUCGGAUUGCAGGCUGCAACUCG